CCUGCCGUCACCGAGCAGGUGCCGUAGGAGAGGUUUGUGCAGGACACUGUGGAGGCAUCUGGUCGGCGUGGAGGAGGUGUAAGGAGCUCAGAGAAGGCGGGAUUUGCCAGGCUGGCAAGGUGGGGGAGGAUAUUCCAGACUGAGAACCCAUGGAAGGGCAUGAUGCGUUCCGGGAAUGGUGACUCAACCCCAGUAAGGCCUCCAAGCAAGGCGGAAGUGGCCACCAAUGAGUGUAAAAAGCCAGUGUGGCUUCAGUGUUGCCAGACUGACCCAACAGUCCUUCCCAGCCCUUCUCCCCGGACAGCUUACUGUGGUUGGAAAAGCUAAAUCCACCUUUCACCAGCUCCUUUGCAGCUGGGCGUGACCAUGUGAUGCAGCUCUGGCCAAUGACGGGGAUACGUUCCAAGAACCCCAGUGGAUGCCUGAAACCAUGGAUACUACCAAGGUGGAGAAACUGAGGCUCAGAUUUACACGUCUAAUGCAUUGGACACGGGGACUGUGAAACCAGGUCUCUCUUCAGCACGCACCAUGCUUUCUCUAGCCCUCUUUAUCACCAGAUAAUGAGUCCAUUAUUAUUUUCUUUUUAC
RNAcentral lists this long non-coding RNA (587 nucleotides) under Equus caballus (horse). Its description in RNAcentral is "lncRNA (ENSECAG00000048789.1)". The record is from RNAcentral. Lineage: Eukaryota; Metazoa; Chordata; Mammalia; Perissodactyla; Equidae.